GAGAGAGAGAGAGAGAGCUUAAGAUGUAGAGCCUAAGUUUUUUGUAGGAGUUUCUGGUUCAUGCUUUUAAAGAAAAACUUAAACGAGUUAGACAACCUCUCGUUAAUGAUGUCACAGUCAUAGAAUAUAAAAAAAAGUAUGGGCGUGCCAAUGGAGGGCGUAAAAGAAAAUCAAUUAUUCUGAAUGAGUCAAUGACUCAGAUAUUGCCUGCUAAGAGGCUCUGCCACUCGAUUGUGCAAGAAGAACACGAUGUCACUGAUGAUCUUUUGGCAUUACUAUCUGAAGAGAGCAAUAAGCUGCGUCCUGAUGUCCUUUUCCUG
This is a non-coding RNA of Hydra vulgaris (swiftwater hydra), 320 nucleotides long. NCBI's taxonomy places the organism in Eukaryota, Metazoa, Cnidaria, Hydrozoa, Anthoathecata, Hydridae. The record is from RefSeq and is a predicted model, not a curated record.